This 326-nucleotide unclassified non-coding RNA is filed under the name fungal sp. RNAcentral describes it as "partial internal transcribed spacer region". The stretch from base 1 to 46 matches the Rfam family "Eukaryotic small subunit ribosomal RNA", at positions 1786 to 1831 of the family's 1831-position model. Lineage: Eukaryota; Fungi. The record is from RNAcentral.
AAGUCGUAACAAGGUUUCCGUAGGUGAACCUGCGGAAGGAUCAUUAAAAAAUCUCUAUGAGCCGCAAGGCUCUAUUACUUUGUGAAACGUUGAUACUGAUUAUGGUCAGGUAAGGGUGUGAUAGUGUUCGUCGUUGGAUGGCACGAUGAUGUCUGGCGGUGCUGCUUUAUUGCUACACUGUCUUCGUCAUCGGCUUAUCAUGGAUGACGAUACGCUUCUUUCCCGCGCCGCCAUACCAGUAGCUUUUUAAAACAUAUGUUCAUGAUGCUGAGGAAUAUAUAUCUUUAAUAUAUAUACAACUUUCAACAGUGGAUCUCUCGGCUCUU